This 299-nucleotide long non-coding RNA is filed under the name Panax ginseng (ginseng). Its description in RNAcentral is "long non-coding RNA (PGIN_LNC000259)". The record is from RNAcentral. Lineage: Eukaryota; Viridiplantae; Streptophyta; Magnoliopsida; Apiales; Araliaceae.
UACAAGAGUUCAUCAAUUCUUAUCAAAAUCUCACCAAAAUUACUAAGAAUUUGAGUUACAAACUAAAAUUGAAAAAGAUGGUGAGUUGAUAUCAUCAAAAGAUGAAUUCAAUUCCAACAAUGAUUAAGAAGUGAGCAAACAAUCUUCAAUUACACAAUAAUGAAGGUAUAAAACUUCUUUUGUUCAAAUUAUAGAAAUUAGUUAAAUUAAUAAUUUUAAUUACUGAAAUUGGUUGUGCGAGAUUAUUUGUAUGGGGAAUCAUGAAGGAUUCCGGAGUAUAAGGUGGAAUUGGAUAUGGA